Long non-coding RNA from Gadus macrocephalus (Pacific cod), 1606 nucleotides. RefSeq lists it as uncharacterized. The transcript is spliced from 2 exons. Lineage: Eukaryota; Metazoa; Chordata; Actinopteri; Gadiformes; Gadidae. The record is from RefSeq and is a predicted model, not a curated record.
CAUGAAAUGGACACGAUCGCCCAGACUUUAUCUCAUUUGCUGUUCUGCGCUAAUGCAAACACAGACACUCAAAAACACACGCGUCUAUUCUUACCAUCAAUGGAGAUCAAUGAUGUGGCUUUUGUGGGUGCUUCACCACUAAGUGCUUUGUGUGUGAUGCUAACUGGGUUUAUGGGGAACACCAUGCUAGAUGUCUUUAUGAGCUACCAUUAAGCCAACUGGUUCAUUGGGACUGAGACCACUAUGCUACCUGGAUUUAUAGGGACUGGUGUAGAAACACGAGCGGGCUUCAUGGAGAUUUAUCCAGCAACGCUUGGUGUGUGUGUGUGUGUGUGUGUGUGUGUGUGUGUGUGUGUGUGAUGACAGCCAACAGAUGAUUCUGUCGCCUCUGGUUCCGCAAGGACCACUGACGAGCUGCGUCUGUGUGCCCUAAUAAAACCCCACUCUGUGACAGCGACUCUGACGGUUUACUCUAGCUCUGCUGAUGGAUUCGACACGCACGCACGCAGGCACGCACACACGCACACUGACACACCCCUCUGGCGAUGGCUAGCAGUCUGGCAGGAGGCAGUGUAGAGCAUCACCAGAGCCCAGGUGACAGAGGCUUCAGCUGUGUGACUCGGCAUGAUGUCCAUCUGUCCCCCAGGUGAGGCUGCGGUGUGUGUGUGUGUGUGUGUGUGUGUGUGUGUGUGUGUGUCUGUCUGUGUGGUCUACCACGUGUGUGUGUGGUUGUGUUUCCCCCGUCGAGACGCCAUGAAAACCCCUCCUCUUCAUGAACUGCAUCAUUCUAUUUUCCUCCCUCUCUCUCUUCCACCCACGCCUUUUCCCUUCACCAUUAUUACCAUGUUCUCCCUCUCGCUCUCUCUCCCUCUCAGUCCCUCUCACCUCCCCGUUGUCUUCCACUCCGUCUCUCACCCUCUCUCACUCCUCUCUCUCCCUCUCAGUCCCUCUCACCUCCCCGUUGUCUUCCACUCCGUCUCUCACCCUCUCUCACUCCUCUCUCUCCCUCUCAGUCCCUCUCACCUCCCUCUCUCAUCAAUCUCUCCCCUUUGCUCCAGUCUCUUUCGCUCUUAUUGAAGUUAAGGUAGAAGGUAAGGUAUAAGUUAAUGUAGGGUAUAAAUUAAGUUAAGGUAUAAGAUAAGUUAAGGUAAGCAGCAAGUAAAGGUCAGUAGUCGAAGUAUACAAAAACAGAAGAUAUUUUUUUUUAUGUUUCUCAAAUUAAAUUCAAACUACAGAAGACAUGUCUCUAUACCCUCCUAGUAUUAAAAGUGAAGCUAUAAUCCAGAUCUGGGAAAUCUUUGCCGGAUAUCCAGUGAGGUAAUGUGCAGGAUUAGAGUGAGUAAGUCUGCUUCCAGGAACUUGGAUUGGAUCAGUGGAUGAGAUGAGAUCUGGAUGAUGAUGAUGUUGAGGCUGACUUCCAAUCAGUCAAAUCACCCUGACCCUGCGAUGCAGUUCGUUAUUCACACAGACACAACACACACUCACACAACACACGCACCCCUUGUGAUCUUUGAGUGGUCUUCCCUCGGGAUGACAUCAUUGCCCUGGGAUGAUAUCACUUUGGGGGCCAAAGGUUUUCAGAAGUUUCAACACACACACGUACACA